GAGUUUGAUCUUGGCUCAGAUUGAACGCUGGCGGCAUGCCUUACACAUGCAAGUCGAACGGCAGCACGGGAGCUUGCUCCUGGUGGCGAGUGGCGAACGGGUGAGUAAUGCAUCGGAACGUAUCCUGGAGUGGGGGAUAACGUAGCGAAAGUUACGCUAAUACCGCAUAUUCUGUGAGCAGGAAAGCGGGGGACCUUCGGGCCUCGCGCUCUUGGAGCGGCCGAUGUCGGAUUAGCUAGUUGGUGAGGUAAAGGCUCACCAAGGCGACGAUCCGUAGCAGGUCUGAGAGGAUGAUCUGCCACACUGGAACUGAGACACGGUCCAGACUCCUACGGGAGGCAGCAGUGGGGAAUUUUGGACAAUGGGGGCAACCCUGAUCCAGCCAUGCCGCGUGAGUGAAGAAGGCCUGGU
Molecule: ribosomal RNA, 411 nt
Filed under: bacterium enrichment culture clone ALO1_GLFRUDD03FTCBE
Lineage: Bacteria
Also listed under: 3 other names
Description: bacterial SSU rRNA
Rfam family: Bacterial small subunit ribosomal RNA
Source: RNAcentral